CGCGCGCUGGAGUGAUGGAGGGGAAGAGAUUCGCUUAGACACACACACGCGCACACAGCUGGGCACGUCUCCGGGAGGCAGCCGCCGGGGGCCGGGCGGCGGCCGUGACAGCACCAGCCGCAGGGACUCGGGCGCCCACACAGCUUGGCCCCUGCGGCUCCAAAGACCGGGAAGGCAAGAUCCCAGCCUCACUGACAGUUGCUCUUUUGGGCAGAUCAGGAGGAAGCAGGCUGCCCAGGGUGCUGUCACCGAGGACCCAGGAGGCUCUCCGUUCGGCGCUCAGAGUCCGGGGCCGCGCCGGUGCCCGCGUGGGGCGAGGAGGAUGCUCACCUCCUCCCGCAGAUCAGCUGCGGGCCCCGGCACUGAGCGGACUCCGGUUCCGGCGGUCGCCCCUACCUUGCCCGCGCCGCGGGAGCGCGCUCUGCCGUACCUGGCUCCAGCCUCCUGGGGAAGUGCAGGAAACGAGCCCUAAACUCCACUACUUCUCGCCGGCCUCCUCCCCCUCGAGGCUCCCCGCCCUGGACCUCGCCGCCGCCGCCGCCGCCUGCGCCUAAGGCCCGCCCGCCUCUUACUCUCACACGCGCACGCACAGCUCCGCUAGCUCGCUCCCAUCCACGCAGACUCGCUCUCCGCCGAGCCCAAGCCCGGGCGUCCGAAACUACUGGCCCAACUGCCAACGGGACUGCAGGAGACGCCCCGGGGCCCGGUGCGACCUGCCGGGGGCCCCCGCGCCCUGGGCUCCCGCCUGCGCCACUGUCGCCGCCGGGGACGUUGGUGCACAGCGAGCAAACCUCCUCCACAACCCUGGAAGCACCUCCUCUUGCUGGACUCCGCUCUCUGGCUUCCCGCCUGGAGGACUUGAGGGCGCCCACCCAAGGGAGCCGCUGUUCACAUCCUGGUUGCCCCAGUACUCACCCGGUUGGAGGACUCUACCCCAAAGGGACCUGGGCUGUCAGAGCAGCAUCUAUGGGGACGUUGCUGAUCUUGGCAUAGGAGAAAGACGUCAGUGUGGAAGACAGGAUAGCCAUAAAGCUACCCUCUGCAACUGACAGAAGUCACUUGUGUUCAUUCUAUUAACCAUGUCAAUUCCUAUGGCCAAGUCUGAUGUCAGUGAGGCAAGAAAAUAGUCUUCUCUCAGAGAGGAGCAGUGAAUAUUUGGAAUAGCUUAACACUGUCUAUGAAAUUACAUAUGAAAUCUCAUCAUAUCUCAACACUAUGGUCUAUCGAGUCUUUUUAGUGGGUAAUUCAAACCUUCAGAGAGAUUAGAAAGGAUAGGUGGCAAGAAGAAGGGAACUAAGCUGCAAGGAAUUUUCUCAAGGGCUACUUGAGCGGCUUCUAUAAGAAUGACCUCCAGGAUUUUUGUCCUUUCACAAAUAGGUUUCUUCUCAUUUAUUGCUUUUGCUAAAAUGAAUUUUAGGCAUUAUCAAAAGGGAAUUUACACAUGGUACUAUUGCCUUUUUGAAUUUAGAAUAUAUAUUUAGAAUUUGGAAUCGCUUUCUCUGGUGUCAGUUCUGCAGCUGAUUUUUUUAAUGUGUUAUGUGAGCAAAUGUAGAUUGUAACUAUAAACACAGUGCAAGGAAGAAGCAGACCCAUCUGUCUCUUUCAAACUUGAUUAGGGAAGGGUGUGCAGAUAAUAUUUUUAGUAUGGUCUUAAAAUUAAGGUUAAGUUGCUUUGAAGCAAGUUGACUACCAGAGAUUUAUUCAUUUUGAGGGUUAAGAUAAAACAAAUAGAAAAUAUAUACACAUUCCCAAAGACACAUUAUGUUGCUCCUUUAAAACCACAUUUAUUUUUUGAUUGCAUGGGAAAUAACAUUUGCAAGCAUAGAGAGCUUUCCUCCUCUGACUUUGGUGAUAGAAAUUUUGAAAUAGCAAACAAUUUUAUUACCUGUAGUUAAUACUAUUGGCAAGAAUUGAACAUGCUAGCAGGGAAAAGUCUAUAUACUACCAUGCACUUAUAAAUGAAAAAAAAUUAUAAUAUAGUAAUAUAAACAUCAUAGAUAAAAUUCAAUAAUGAAUGUAAGAAAAAAAGUGGUUUUUCCAGUUGUUCUAGAUCAAAUUUUAAUAGUUUAUCUGAAAGACUUCUCUAUCAAGUCACCAUCUUAUUAAAUUAAGUGACCCCCCCAAAAAAAAACAAAUACAAGACUAACUUUAUUUUUUCCUCUUCUUCCAUUACCAUGGGAAACAGAAAAAUGCCAAACAAUCAGAUAAAUAGUCAGAUGCUCGGUUUAUUGAGAAAAACACUGGGAAGGGCCAUUAGUGGCUCUGAUGAGGAAAAAUUUUAAAAGAAAAGAGAGCUGAGGAAAGGUUCAUUUGUACCGUAUAUUAGAUUCCAGAUAUAAGUGAUAUCAUAUGCUAUUUGUCUUUCUCUUUCUUACUUACUUCACUUAGUAUGAGAGGACUAGGAAUUUGACCUAGAUGCAAACUAUUGCCUUUGGAGUGGAUAAACAAUGAGAUCCUGCUGUAUAGCACUGGGAACUAUAUCUAGUCACCUAUGGUGGAGUAUAAUAAUGUGAGAGAAAGAAUGUAUAUAUGUAUGUGUGACUAGGUCACCUUGCUAUACAGUAGAAUAUUGACAGAACACUGUAAACCAGCUAUAAUGGAAAAAAAUAAAAA
This 2613-nucleotide long non-coding RNA is filed under the name Sus scrofa (pig). RNAcentral describes it as "lncRNA (ENSSSCG00030020539.1)". The record is from RNAcentral. Lineage: Eukaryota; Metazoa; Chordata; Mammalia; Artiodactyla; Suidae.